RNAcentral lists this ribosomal RNA (749 nucleotides) under uncultured archaeon. RNAcentral's name for it is "bacterial SSU rRNA". It matches the Rfam family "Archaeal small subunit ribosomal RNA", at positions 53 to 810 of the family's 1478-position model. The record is from RNAcentral.
GCGAGUCGAGAGGUGAAAGACCUCGGCGUACUGCUCAGUAACACGUGGAUAAUCUACCCUGAGGAGAGGGAUAACCCCGGGAAACUGGGGAUAAUACCUCAUAGGUUAUGGAGGCUGGAAUGCACCAUAACCCAAAGCUCCGGCGCCUCAGGAUGAGUCUGCGGCCGAUUAGGUUGUUGUUGGGGUAACGGCCCAACAAGCCUGUAAUCGGUACGGGUUGUGGGAGCAAGAGCCCGGAGAUGGAUUCUGAGACAUGAAUCCAGGCCCUACGGGGCGCAGCAGGCGCGAAAACUUUACAAUGCGGGCAACCGUGAUAAGGGAACCCCGAGUGCCCGUAUACGCGGGCUGUUCAGAUGCUUAAAACACAUCUGGAGAAAGGGCCGGGCAAGACCGGUGCCAGCCGCCGCGGUAAUACCGGCGGCUCGAGUGGUGGCCACUAUUACUGGGCUUAAAGCGUCCGUAGCUGGGUUGUUAAGUCUUCUGGGAAAUCUGCCGGCUCAACCGUCAGGCGUUCAGGAGAUACUGGCAAUCUAGGGACCGGGGGAGGUGAGAGGUACUCCGGGGGUAGGAGUGAAAUCCUGUAAUCCUCGGGGGACCACCUGUGGCGAAGGCGUCUCACCACAACGGCUCCGACAGUGAGGGACGAAAGCUGGGGGAGCAAACCGGAUUAGAUACCCGGGUAGUCCCAGCUGUAAACGAUGCGCGUUAGGUGUGUCGAUAACCACGAGUUAUCGAGGUGCCGAAGGGAA